RNAcentral lists this ribosomal RNA (496 nucleotides) under uncultured bacterium. RNAcentral's name for it is "partial 16S ribosomal RNA". It matches the Rfam family "Bacterial small subunit ribosomal RNA", at positions 28 to 506 of the family's 1533-position model. The record is from RNAcentral.
GAUGAACGCUGGCGGCGUGCCUAAUACAUGCAAGUCGAGCGAACAGAUGAGGAGCUUGCUCCUCUGACGUUAGCGGCGGACGGGUGAGUAACACGUGGAUAACCUACCUAUAAGACUGGGAUAACUUCGGGAAACCGGAGCUAAUACCGGAUAAUAUAUUGAACCGCAUGGUUCAAUAGUGAAAGACGGUUUUGCUGUCACUUAUAGAUGGAUCCGCGCCGCAUUAGCUAGUUGGUAAGGUAACGGCUUACCAAGGCAACGAUGCGUAGCCGACCUGAGAGGGUGAUGCGCCACACUGGAACUGAGACACGGUCCAGACCCCCACGGGAGGCAGAAGUAGGGAAUCUUCCGCAAGGGGCGAAAGCCUGACGGAGCAACGCCGCGGGAGUGAUGAAGGUCUUCGGAUCGUAAAACUCUUUUAUGAGGGAAAAAAAAAUGUGUAAGUAACUAUGCCCGUCUGGACGGUACCUAAUCAGAAAGCCACGGCUAACUACGU